UACAGAGGGUGCGAGCGUUAAUCGGAAUUACUGGGCGUAAAGCGCACGUAGGCGGCUUUCUAAGUCGGGGGUGAAAUCCUGGAGCUCAACUCCAGAACUGCCUUCGAUACUGGAGAGCUUGAGUCCGGGAGAGGUGAGUGGAACUGCGAGUGUAGAGGUGAAAUUCGUAGAUAUUCGCAAGAACACCAGUGGCGAAGGCGGCUCACUGGCCCGGUACUGACGCUGAGGUGCGAAAGCGUGGGGAGCAAACAGG
RNAcentral lists this ribosomal RNA (253 nucleotides) under uncultured bacterium. Its description in RNAcentral is "partial 16S ribosomal RNA". It matches the Rfam family "Bacterial small subunit ribosomal RNA", at positions 524 to 776 of the family's 1533-position model. The record is from RNAcentral.